This 207-nucleotide long non-coding RNA is filed under the name Gossypium raimondii (Peruvian cotton). Its description in RNAcentral is "long non-coding RNA (GRAI_LNC009736)". Lineage: Eukaryota; Viridiplantae; Streptophyta; Magnoliopsida; Malvales; Malvaceae. The record is from RNAcentral.
ACGGAGGUGGCACCGAUCGAUGCUUCCGGCCAAAGAGGUAAGCUUCCCUUCCUCUUUUCUUUGUUAUUUCUUUAAAAAAACCAAAAAAUGCAAAAGAGAAAAAAUAAAAAUAAAACUAUAGGAACCCGAUUCACCUUAAGAAAAAAAACUUUGUAUUCUCUGUUUUACUUUCGAUUUCUUUGUCUAUUUCUCUGUUCUCCGUCCCCC